CAGCAGCCGCGGUAAUACGUAGGGUCCGAGCGUUGUCCGGAAUUACUGGGCGUAAAGAGCUCGUAGGUGGUUUGUCGCGUUGUUCGUGAAAACUCACAGCUUAACUGUGGGCGUGCGGGCGAUACGGGCAGACUAGAGUACUGCAGGGGAGACUGGAAUUCCUGGUGUAGCGGUGGAAUGCGCAGAUAUCAGGAGGAACACCGGUGGCGAAGGCGGGUCUCUGGGCAGUAACUGACGCUGAGGAGCGAAAGCGUGGGGAGCGAACAGGAUUAGAUACCCCAGUAGUCCCUGUCUCUUAUAC
RNAcentral lists this ribosomal RNA (301 nucleotides) under uncultured bacterium. Its description in RNAcentral is "partial 16S ribosomal RNA". It matches the Rfam family "Bacterial small subunit ribosomal RNA", at positions 509 to 807 of the family's 1533-position model. The record is from RNAcentral.